Molecule: ribosomal RNA, 253 nt
Filed under: uncultured bacterium
Lineage: Bacteria
Description: partial 16S ribosomal RNA
Rfam family: Bacterial small subunit ribosomal RNA
Source: RNAcentral
UACGGAGGGUGCGAGCGUUGUCCGGAAUCACUGGGCGUAAAGGGCGCGUAGGCGGCCUGAUAAGUAGGGGGUGAAAUCCUGCGGCUUAACCGCAGGGCUGCCUUCUAAACUGUCGGGCUAGAGCACGGUAGAGGCGGAUGGAAUUCCCGGUGUAGCGGUGGAAUGCGUAGAGAUCGGGAAGAACAUCAGUGGCGAAGGCGGUCUGCUGGGCCGUUGCUGACGCUGAGGCGCGACAGCGUGGGGAGCAAACAGG